Long non-coding RNA from Metopolophium dirhodum (rose-grain aphid), 1312 nucleotides. RefSeq lists it as uncharacterized. Lineage: Eukaryota; Metazoa; Arthropoda; Insecta; Hemiptera; Aphididae. The record is from RefSeq and is a predicted model, not a curated record. The transcript has 4 exons.
CUUGGCUUACUUUAUUGACAUAGUACUAUUCCGUUAAAAUUCUCGCUAGGCAUACUUCGCGUACUCGACGUACUGUGCUUUCUUAAAGUAAGCUAACUACGACAUGUCGGGUCUCGGGAGGUGUCUCUCUUGACUUCUUGGCGUACUUAGUCGUGAUCAAAAUGAACGCGGUGCGAAUUAACAAUUUAUUUUUAUUUGGCGAUGAACAUGGCAAUGAACGAGAAGAUAGUAGACGUUUAUGAAUAGAACGAGUUCUUAUUCGUCAACGGACAGUCUAUCGGCUAUCAGACGAAGAAUUUCGUACCAAUUUUCAUAUAUCCAAACAUACUUUUGAAAGAAUUUUGCAUGAAUUAACACCUCAUUUGAUUGGCAAGCUUAGGAGUGACGGUAUUUGUGUUGAAAAAAAGGUUGCGGCAACAAUAAGAUUCCUUGCACAAGGCUCUUACCAGAAAGGCGUAGGUAAUGAUUUUUUAAUUGGACUGUCACAACCUGCAAUUAGUAAAGUGUUGAACGAGGUGUUAGAAUGCAUGCAUAUUCAAAUGUGCUCCAAAUAUGUCAAGUUUCUAAUAACUACUGAAGAAAAGACACGUAUUUCCGAUUGGUUUCAAACCAGAUUCAAAAUACCAAAUGUGAUUGGCAUGAUAGACGGGACACAUAUUGGGAUUUUUCCCCCAGCGGUCAACAAUGAAGAUGCAGCACCUUUGUAACACAUAUCGGAAUUCCAAAGAAUGGUUGCUGGGAGAUUCUGGAUAUCCUCUUGAACCGUGGUUAUUGACACCAUUUUCUAACCAAAACAAUGACGAUUAUCAAAUGUUUAAUAACGCCCAUUCUAAGGCUCGUUCAACUGUUGAACGUGCAAUAGGGGUUUUAAAAGGCAGAUGGAGAUGUUUAUGUAAACAAAGAAACCUGCACUCCACAAUAUCUGUAUUCAAAUGGAUGAUUAUUUACCUUUAGAUGAAAUUCUUGUGGAUAAUUAUGACGAUAAUGUUAUUCAUUUUGGAAAUACAAUGUAUAACGUUGGAGAUAAAAAUCGGAGAGCAGUAAUUGCUUAUAUGAACAAUAAUUAGGGAUGAUAAUAAUUGUAAUAUAAAACAUAAUACUUAAACGCAUGGUCGAGUCAUCCCAUGAAUUUUUUUCAAAACACUUAUCGCAUCAUAAAUUAUUUUAUGAAAUACUAGAUAAAAUUCCUAUUUACACAUUGAAAUAUUAUUGUAUAAAAGAUAUGUUAUUUUUGAGAUAGUAUUCUGACCCAUUGACAAUAUGUGACACAAAAAUAAAAACUUCAAGUAUUAAAAUGUAUAAAACUGUAAAU